AAAAAAUGGUCCUUGUGACAUUGUUGGUGAUAUCAGUUAUGAAGAAUUGCGGGCUGCUGCAUAUGAUGAUGCUAAGCAUGGAUUGAGCUUGCAAUCAAUUUUUCUCCGCACCCUCCUUCUCUCCGUGACUCUGCCAUCAGUUCCUUCAACAAAGAGCACUAGAAAUCCCCCUCAAGCCUUGUCUUUCACUGCUGCAACUUACAGAGGAAGAAAUCAGUUUUUGUCUUCUUCACUUAUUAUUCUAUUUAUUCUAUUUCCUACUUAAAUUUCAUUUUCUCUAUUCUGUUUGGUUGUUAAUUUCCAAAUCUUAGGUCUACCUGCACUAGAUGAGUCGUUAGCUUUAAGAUCUGUGUUUUUUUCUCUAAUUUUAGACACAUUUGGUUGUGUAUUCUAUAAUAAAAGUUCAAUAUUUUGAGUGCUCAUCCUCUUGUUUUAGUUGAUUUGGUGUAGUUUGGUUGAUCUAAUCUCUGUUCUUAUAUGCACAUAUUAAAGUUGAUGUAUCAUGUAUGCUUUUCAAAUCCCUAAAUCCCAAUAUGAAUUGCUGUUUCAAUGUAAAUCUGUUUGAAUAUGUUGAUCUAGCGACUUGUAAUUUUUAAUUUUAAUUGAUUGUUGAAAUUGGAAGACGAAAAGAACUGAUUUUGUUUUCAGAACUGGGUUUUGUUAGUUGCUGAAUUGGGGAGCAUAACUGAUGUUGCUGAAUUGGGGAGAAUAACUGAUGGACCAAACUGAUUUAUUUCGGUUUGGUUCAGUUCGGUUGGUCUCUAUAAUUUGGUUCAAUUUGGUUAUUUUAAAAAAUAUUUUUUUUAUUUGGGUUCGAUUCACAACCCAACCAAUCGACUGCACACCCCUAAUUGACAAUGGUGAAUUAAAAAUGUAAUUUUGCUAUCUUAAAGACAAUAUGAUAACCUAUAGAGAGAGAAACUAUAGACCAAAAAAAUUAAUUCAAAUAAUUCUUUUCUUUAGAAGAAUAAAUAAGGAAACACCAAGAUAUAUAUGUUAUUAAAAAUUUAAAGGGGUAAAAUUACAAAACAAUAAUUUGUAUUGUUCUUUCAAAUACCAAAAAUUCUUUGAUAGGGUUAUUAGUCCAACAGAAGAUCCUGAAUAUCAUUCAUAUGAUUGUAUUGCACACUUAGAUCUGUUAUACUAAAAUGGUAAAGUAAAUUUGAUUUACUAUCAGUGAACACUUACCCUGAAAUUUAAAAGGUAUUUUGGCCUUAAAAAGGGCACAUCCUUGCAUGUUUGGGGUGGUCAUUCGGGGCAGUUGUCUAAUUGCACGCUUGGGCCUGUACAUAUAUAUAUAUUGAAAACCAUUGUGUUGGUUAUGCACACGAGAAAAAGCAACUCAGUGAAUAAGUCUAGAAUAAACAAAUAAGACCACGAUCAAGACUGUACAUACACAGAGGGUAAGAGACUUGAGAAGUUGAGUGAGAAACAAGGCUUAGGUAAGAAGUUAAGUCUUUUUUAUAUCUUUAUUCAAUAUAUAUAACUCAGUUUAUUGGAUUUCUUGCUCUCUCCCAAAUUUGUGAUUUUUCAUCAAGAUCAUACAAGAGCCUCUGGUUCUUUAAGAGGGAAAAAAAAAAGUUAAAUUGAGAACCUUGGGUUAUUGCAUCAAAACGAAAACUGAACCUUUGUUGAUUCUAAGAGAGCUUCUGGUUCUCCUUCAAAACUAAAAUAAAAUAAAAUAUACAAAUAAAAAGAGAACCUUUGGUUCUUAAUCAAUUUAGGAGAAUCAAUAGUUCUCCUCAUCAAUAAUCAAAGGACCUUUAUUUCUUAAAUCUUGUGAAUCAAAGAAUAUCGAAGCCUUUGGUUCUUACAAGUUUCUUUAUUCCAAAGCCCCCUGAUUCCAAAUAAAAAAAAUCUAAUUAAGAAACUUUGGUUCUUAAAUUCUCAUGAAAUGAAGAAACUAACCUUACACGAAAUUUGUGUCAAAAACUUAUGGUUUUUAUGCAAAUUAAAAUAUAUGCCUCCAAAAGUUAAGUCGAAGAACCUUUGGCUCUCUAAAUGCAUAAAAUGGGGAGCUUUUUAGCUCCAAUACUUGGUUGACUUGAUAUUAUGUGUAUAUCAGUUUAAUAAAAUUUGACAUUUUAUGGAACAGAAUACAAAUUUUUGUAAAAAUGAGUUUUCCAAGUGGUUGAGUUACUGGUAGGUUUGGUAAUAAUUCUACAGUCUACAGAAAGUAGAUGGAUGAAUUUUUAUGAUACAAAAUUUGUUCUUCUAUGAAAGCUUCCUUGCGACAUGUUUAAUGAGCAACAUUUUAGGUCUUCCUGGAUGUGCUCUAUGUAGAAGUAGAACAUUCCAUGUUUCUAUCUUUUCAUUCCAUAUGUUAUUGUAAUUACAGAUAUUAUGUUGUAGUUUAUUUACAUGAUUGCAAGUCGAGAUAUUGCUGCUUUUGUUCAUUUAUUGAAAAACCCUUAUGCCAGGUUGAGAGAGAGAGAAAUUUGCUUAAUUCCAAGUUGACCGAGUUUGAGAACCUGCUUCGUAAUCCUUAUGUAGCACCUCAAAAUUCUGCUCUUAGCCAGGGUACAUUUCCCAGAGUCACUCCCAAUGCAAUAUCAACUACUGGUGAAAAUAAUGCCCCCCCUGCAGUGUCCAGUUUCAGUCAACUGGGUGCAUCACUUAAUAUGGGGUCUACAACAAGGCCUUCUGCACCAUUAAAUAAUCCCUUUGGGCAACCAAAUCUCUUCUCAAAUUCUAGCCAGAGUUUCAGUACAUUUGGAAUAAGGCCCUCUGCAUCGUCAAAUAAUGCUUUUGGGCAACCAAAUUUCUUCUCUAAUGCAAGCCAAACCUCAAGUGCGUUUGGGACAAACAGUUUCGCACCUGCAAAUGCUGCAGGCUUCAGCAGUAGAACAAUCAACAAUCAAAGUAGUCCGUUUUCUUCAGCAGUGUCAACAGAAAUGACUAAUUUGUCUAGGUCUAGCGCUCAGCCUCUCAUUAUUUCCAAUGCACCUAAUUCAGCUUCUAAUGCAGUUGAGCCAGUAACUAAACAUAUUCAGUCAGUCAACGGCAUGCAAAGAGGAACUGUUUCUGGGGAUGCAAGUAUUUGGUUAAAAGAAAACUGGAUCCCUGGAGAGGUAAAUGCUUUUGAUAUGCUUUAUUUAUAACAACACUUGCAUUUUGUUUUCGCUCUUAAAAGUUUAUGAAAUAAGAAAUUAAAUUUUUGUUGAACUUGCCAAAACUCAGAAGCACAAAAAGAAUUUGAGAAACUGAAAUUUGUUAGCAGCUAAAAAAUGUCAUUAAUGCAGCUGAAUGUUCAUUUAAACUCAUAACUAAGCCUUAAUCUCAAUCUAGCUGAUAGGAGUAAGCAUUUGAUUAACCAAACUGAAUUCCUAACUAACCAAAACUUUUAACAGUUAUAAAAUAAUAACUGAACUGAGCUAAAUUUAGUAGGAAACUGAGCGUAAUGAGGAUGGGAAUUAGGAGGGAAAUGUACAUUGGCAAUCAGACAACUAGUUGCAAAAUAGCAAGGAAAUGUAGUAAUGUACUUUGUCUAUAUUAUAGGCGAAAUACUUCUUCUUUCUACUCCUUCCAACCAAACAUAGUGUUAUAACCAAAUUAUUAUAAUUUAUAUAGAAUUAGUAAAAAAAAAUGUAAUGUUAACUAUAUAUAAAAUGUUAAUUUAUAUAUUAAUUAAUGAAAAUUGGUUAUUAAAGUGGUGUUUGGUACAAGUUAAACAAAAAGGAAACAAAGAGAAGGGAAGAACGAGAGAGAAAGGGGGAAUUUGAGAGGCAGCUUUGUAUCCUUAGAAUUCUAUAGAAUAUCCUCACGGUGUAGACAACCAGUUCUGCAGUAAAAGGCUCCCCCUGCAUUUACCAGUAGAACAUUAGCCAUAAAAGUAUUGCGGACUAAUUCUUGUCCAUGAGCUAAAGCUCAAUGCUGACAAAUUGACACCUCAGAUUCUUAGCUACAGCUGCGUCGAAGAAGUUAUGAGCACUUCUAGAAUCUAUCAAAACAUUCUUCUUGAAGUUUCUCCAAGUCUGCAUGGUUUGAUUGCAAAUUUGGAUUAAGAUUUGAGACCCGUUAAGGGUAUACAUGGACAGCUGGUGACCCUUAUAUGCAGGCACAUCAUAACAGAACUCCUGGCCUUCAUUAACUUCUUCUAUAGUCUCAUUAUUGAGUUCUUGGAUAAAAUCAUGUCAAAUAUCUUGUUUUAACACCUUUGACCAGGUGUCUUUUUUCUUAUAACAACGAAAACACAAACCUCUUUGGGUUUUGAAUGGUUCUGGUUGUUGGUAGUGUUCUUGGAAAUCAAGUUGUUUUUAUCAAGGCUGGUUAAUAUUCCAGGUUGGUUGCUAUUUGAAUUAUUUUUUGGUUUAUGACUGGUCAAGGUCACAGAGGGGGUGGUUAAGGAUUUAAGGCAGUGAUUUUGGUGUAUGGUUUUGGAUGGUUGCGCAAUAGACGUUCCUUUCUUCCAUUGGAUUGCUGAGGUCUCCAAGGUUGUGUAUGUGGCUCCUAGUAAUUAAAGAGUCCAUCAAAGUAGCUUCUCCAGCUUUUUGAAUGUCUGCACCUACUAACAUUGCCGUUAUCAUUGUUUAGAAAUCUAAGUCUUGGCAUUAUUGGUUUGGAAUUGCAUGCAGCAACAGCUAUCUUAAUCUAAAAUUAGUUAGCAUCUCUAUAUGGAUCUUUUUUCGUCAUUCAACUCUACUUGAGAUUAGUUUCACAUCAAUAUUUAAAAAUUACAAAAUUUUUUUUAUACUAUUUUCCUUCACGGCAUUUAAAGUCUCUUAACUUUCCUCAUUUCUGUCGCUAAUUUAUCCAAUUUCCAUGCAGGAGCAGUUUUUUUACAUUGGACAUGACUAAAUCAUUUUAAUCGACUCUCUUAUUUUAUCCUUCCUUUGUGGAAUAUGAUCGUUACUAAUUUUAU
Molecule: unclassified non-coding RNA, 4861 nt
Filed under: Hevea brasiliensis (rubber tree)
Lineage: Eukaryota; Viridiplantae; Streptophyta; Magnoliopsida; Malpighiales; Euphorbiaceae
Source: RNAcentral